CAUGAAGUCGGAAUUGCUAGUAAUCGCAGAUCAGCAUGCUGCGGUGAAUACGUUCCCGGGCCUUGUACACACCGCCCGUCACACCAUGAGAGUCGGGAACACCCGAAGUCCGUAGCCUAACCGCGAAGGGGGGCGCGGCCGAAGGUGGGUUCGAUAAUUGGGGUGAAGUCGUAACAAGGUAUC
Molecule: ribosomal RNA, 183 nt
Filed under: uncultured bacterium
Lineage: Bacteria
Description: partial 16S ribosomal RNA
Rfam family: Bacterial small subunit ribosomal RNA
Source: RNAcentral